GGUUGCGAUCAUACCAGCAGUAAUGCACCGGAUCCCAUCAGAACUCCGCAGUUAAGCGUGCUUGGGCGAGAGUAGUACUAGGAUGGGUGACCCCUUGGGAAGUCCUGGUGUUGCAACCC
This 119-nucleotide ribosomal RNA is filed under the name Helianthus annuus (common sunflower). The record is from RNAcentral. Lineage: Eukaryota; Viridiplantae; Streptophyta; Magnoliopsida; Asterales; Asteraceae.